This is a long non-coding RNA of Papaver somniferum (opium poppy), 752 nucleotides long. RefSeq lists it as uncharacterized. The record is from RefSeq and is a predicted model, not a curated record. The transcript is spliced from 5 exons. NCBI's taxonomy places the organism in Eukaryota, Viridiplantae, Streptophyta, Magnoliopsida, Ranunculales, Papaveraceae.
CAGAGCGACUACCUAGGGUUACAAGUCUUUUGCCCCAAGCCCUAUACCACUAUUCUCCCGUCUUUUCCCAUCUCUUUCCCGUAGCAAAACAAAACCCUAGGCUAAAUCCUAAACCUAAUCGCGAUCCUGCCUUUGUUUAGUUUAUUUUUUCGUUUGAUUUAUUUAACAAUCAAAGGAUUGAUUUCACCAAAGGUGUUAUUUUUUAAUGGAGCCUAGGAAGGACGGAAGGCUAGACAAACACUUUUGCGGCUAAAUGUCUCAAAAGAAUAUCCAUAUUACUCGCCAAGGAAAAACACCAGCAAAGAUGAAUUACACCGUAUUUGAUGAGGCUCGACAAAAGCUGAAGAUCUUGGAAGUCUGGCAGCCGUUAGUGCGGUUUCUAUAAGGUCUAAUCGUAAUCAUGGUCACUGAGGUACCUUAAAGUUAGAUGUCAAGUCACUUUAAAUCAUGGAGCCAAAGUAUGGUUCCGUUCAGAAGGCCUGAGAAAGAAGAAGGGUGUUUGUUCUCUAUAUAACAACUCAUUUGGGUAAUUAGUUUAAAAGCAGUAGUGUUCAUUUCAACUUAUGUAUAUGGGUGUUGUGUGAGGGCUCAGGUUGUAAUGAAAGAUGUUUCCAGUUCCUGGACUCUUUAACUAAGCAUGAAACAACUGACGCCACAGAUAACAUAUAGUCUUUAAAACUUAAACUUUUGAAACUUGAUUCCGUAGCUUCUUGAUUUGGCUUAUUAAUUGUCCAUUUUUGCUUCGGUUAUAA